ACACAUGCAAGUCGAGCGGUAACAGGUGUAGCAAUACAUGCUGACGAGCGGCGAACGGGUGAGUAAUGCUUCGGAAUCUGCCCAAUGGUGGGGAAUAACCAGCCGAAAGGUUGGCUAAUACCGCAUAAGUCCUACGGGGGAAAGCAGGGGAUCGCAAGACCUUGCGCCGAUGGAUGAGCCGAAGUCGGAUUAGCUAGUUGGUAGGGUAACGGCCUACCAAGGCGACGAUCCGUAGCUGGUCUGAGAGGACGACCAGCCACACUGGGACUGAGACACGGCCCAGACUCCUACGGGAGGCAGCAGUGGGGAAUAUUGGACAAUGGGGGAAACCCUGAUCCAGCGACGCCGCGUGUGUGAAGAAGGCCUGCGGGUUGUAAAGCACUUUUAGUGGGGAUGAAAAGCUCACGGCUAACACCUCUGGGUCUUGACCUAACCCAAAGAAAAAGCACCGGCUAACUCUGUG
Molecule: ribosomal RNA, 463 nt
Filed under: uncultured bacterium
Lineage: Bacteria
Description: bacterial SSU rRNA
Rfam family: Bacterial small subunit ribosomal RNA
Source: RNAcentral